UGGGUGUGCUCAGAGCAGGUGGCCUGAAGAAUGGCUUCUCUAUUUACAACACACCCAACAGGAAUUUAGGGUCUCUGUGACAAGGGGCAUGAAACUUGUAACUUUCUCAUGAAUAAAGGUCCCACACAU
This is a small nucleolar RNA of Octodon degus (degu), 129 nucleotides long. Lineage: Eukaryota; Metazoa; Chordata; Mammalia; Rodentia; Octodontidae. The record is from Ensembl.